AUCGCAUUCCCAUUGUCCUUCUCCACAAUGUUUAAAUAUUUUCUAAUUCGCUAAAUAAUUCGCUUCGCUUUUCGCAUCUAAUUCGUUAGAAUGAUUUACGGCGAAAUUGCGAAACUUCUUUAAACCAUUUCUUGUUUCGUACAUGUGUAUCUCUGGUGUAUUGGAACUAUAGGUAUCAAUUUACAUAUUGUCUGCUUAAUAAUCGAUAUAAUUCAAGUAAACAAAUUGGCAGAAGUGUGAACAAUCUUAUAUGAAUAUUCACAAUCAAUAAUUACUUGCAUUUUUAUAAAUUAUCAAUCAUUGAUCAGCAAAUAUACUUCAAAUAAUUGAUGAU
This is a non-coding RNA of Schizosaccharomyces pombe (fission yeast), 334 nucleotides long. NCBI's taxonomy places the organism in Eukaryota, Fungi, Ascomycota, Schizosaccharomycetes, Schizosaccharomycetales, Schizosaccharomycetaceae. The record is from the annotation of a GenBank genome assembly.